UGAACGCUGGCGGCGUGCCUAACACAUGCAAGUCGAACGCGAAAGUUUUCUUCGGAAAAUGAGUAGAGUGGCAGACGGGUGAGUAAUGCAUAGGUAAUCUACCUUUGAGUGGGGGACAACUAGUCGAAAGGCGAGCUAAUCCCGCAUAAUAUCACAGCUCACAAGAGUUGUGAUCAAAGAGGGGGAUCCUUCGGGACCUCUUGCUUAAAGAUGAACUUAUGUCCUAUUAGCUUGUUGGUGGGGUAAUGGCCUACCAAGGCGAUGAUGGGUAGCCGAGCUGAGAGGCUGAUCGGCCACACUGGAACUGAUACACGGUCCAGACUCCUACGGGAGGCAGCAGUGGGGAAUUUUGCGCAAUGGGCGAAAGCCUGACGCAGCGACGCCGCGUGAGGGAUGACGGUUCUCGUAAUUGUAAACCUCUGUCAGGAAGGAUUAAAUGCAUAAUUGUUAAUACCCUUUAUGCUUGACUUAACUUCCAGAGGAAGCCCCGGCUAACUAC
RNAcentral lists this ribosomal RNA (499 nucleotides) under uncultured bacterium. RNAcentral's name for it is "bacterial SSU rRNA". It matches the Rfam family "Bacterial small subunit ribosomal RNA", at positions 30 to 504 of the family's 1533-position model. The record is from RNAcentral.